RNAcentral lists this unclassified non-coding RNA (416 nucleotides) under Hevea brasiliensis (rubber tree). The record is from RNAcentral. Lineage: Eukaryota; Viridiplantae; Streptophyta; Magnoliopsida; Malpighiales; Euphorbiaceae.
AGUUUGUCCGAGAGUAUUUCACAAGGAGAAAACCAACAUAGUUUCAUACAUUUGGAUUAUGUGGCAACAGAAAUGAUGAGAUUAGAGAAGAUGUUGGCGGUGGAAGUGCCUCAGAAACUGUUCCAGCUGUAUAUAUGAAUCCUAAAAGCCUCUGAACACCAGCAUAGCUCAGUUCGGAUAGCAUGGAACUCAGAUCGAUGGAAGGCUGAGAAACCAGCUUCUUAACACUGAUAGCAAGAACACCAUUUGACCUUUCUUUCUCUUCUGAGUAAAAUUUCCGGUAAACUUGGACACCUUCUUCAGUGGUAUCCACUCCAGGAAGAACUUCUUUAAGACUCUCUGCUUCUAACAUCUCACGAAAUGAAUGAUAAUGACGGACAUCCUGAACUUGAAGAACUAAACAUUUGUUGAUGAGG